AGAUACCUCAUUUCGACUAGUCUCUUGCAAAAAUCUCAUCUCAUGGAAGAAAAUGAUUCGCAGUUGCGGAUGAGAAAGGGGGGAAAUGACGGAAAAUUAUGAGUGCAGCAUUAGUCACAGCAUCCCUUCAAGACCGAUUUCAACGAUCGAUUCUAUUCUCGAUGGCUUGUGGUGUCACGUACUUCAAAGAUAAGGGCUAAAGUGAAGGACACCGAAUUCUUCAUAUUCAGACUUUAUAGAACUCGGUCUAUUUUUACGGUUAUUUUUCACAUUUUCUGAAUGGAAAUUUAACUUGAAAGUAGGGAUCUCCGAGGGCUAUUUAGUUUGAAAGAAUCUCCUUGAAGCUGAGAAUUCGUU
Leptopilina boulardi is the source of this 357-nucleotide long non-coding RNA. RefSeq lists it as uncharacterized. The record is from RefSeq and is a predicted model, not a curated record. Lineage: Eukaryota; Metazoa; Arthropoda; Insecta; Hymenoptera; Figitidae. The transcript has 3 exons.